AUACGUAGGGAGCGAGCGUUGUCCGGAAUUACUGGGUGUAAAGGGUGCGUAGGCGGGUCAGCAAGUCAGGCGUGAAAUACCGGGGCUCAACUCCGGGGCUGCGCUUGAAACUGUUGGUCUUGAGUGAAGUAGAGGCAGGCGGAAUUCCUAGUGUAGCGGUGAAAUGCGUAGAUAUUAGGAGGAACACCAGUGGCGAAGGCGGCCUGCUGGGCUUUAACUGACGCUGAUGCACGAAAGCAUGGGGAGCAAACAGGAUUAGAUACCCUGGUAGUCCAUGCCGUAAACGAUGAUAGCUAGGUGUGGGGGGUUAUAUGCCAUCCGUGCCGGAGUUAACACAAUAAGCUAUCCACCUGGGGAGUACGGCCGCAAGGCUAAA
This 376-nucleotide ribosomal RNA is filed under the name uncultured bacterium. RNAcentral's name for it is "bacterial SSU rRNA". It matches the Rfam family "Bacterial small subunit ribosomal RNA", at positions 523 to 898 of the family's 1533-position model. The record is from RNAcentral.